Molecule: ribosomal RNA, 503 nt
Filed under: uncultured bacterium
Lineage: Bacteria
Description: bacterial SSU rRNA
Rfam family: Bacterial small subunit ribosomal RNA
Source: RNAcentral
GGUUCAGGAUGAACGCUAGCGACAGGCCUAACACAUGCAAGUCGAGGGGCAGCACAAGGAGCAAUCUGAGGUGGCGACCGGCGCACGGGUGAGUAACACGUAUGCAACCUGCCUGUAAGCGGGGAAUAACCCGUUGAAAGACGGACUAAUACCGCAUAAUACUAAAUUACUGCAUGGUAAUUUAUUUAAACAUUUAUGGCUUACAGAUGGGCAUGCGCAUGAUUAGCUAGUUGGAGAGGUAACGGCUCCCCAAGGCAACGAUCAUUAGGGGUUCUGAGAGGAAGGUCCCCCCACACUGGUACUGAGACACGGACCAGACUCCUACGGGAGGCAGCAGUGAGGAAUAUUGGUCAAUGGACGAGAGUCUGAACCAGCCAAGUCGCGUGCAGGAAGAAUGUCCUAUGGAUUGUAAACUGCUUUUGCAGGGGAAUAAAGUGCAUCACGUGUGAUGUUUUGUAUGUACUCUGCGAAUAAGGAUCGGCUAACUCCGUGCCAGCCGCGGC